ACGAACUCUGUAUUGAUUGGUGCUUGCAUCAUGAUUUACAUUUGAGUGAGUGGCGAACUGGUGAGUAACACGUGGGAAACCUGCCCAGAAGCGGGGGAUAACACCUGGAAACAGAUGCUAAUACCGCAUAACAACUUGGACCGCAUGGUCCGAGCUUGAAAGAUGGCUUCGGCUAUCACUUUUGGAUGGUCCCGCGGCGUAUUAGCUAGAUGGUGGGGUAACGGCUCACCAUGGCAAUGAUACGUAGCCGACCUGAGAGGGUAAUCGGCCACAUUGGGACUGAGACACGGCCCAAACUCCUACGGGAGGCAGCAGUAGGGAAUCUUCCACAAUGGACGAAAGUCUGAUGGAGCAACGCCGCGUGAGUGAAGAAGGGUUUCGGCUCGUAAAACUCUGUUGUUAAAGAAGAACAUAUCUGAGAGUAACUGUUCAGGUAUUGACGGUAUUUAACCAGAAAGCCACGGCUAACUACGUGCCAGCAGCCGCGGUAAUACGUAGGUGGCAAGCGUUGUCCGGAUUUAUUGGGCGUAAAGCGAGCGCAGGCGGUUUUUUAAGUCUGAU
RNAcentral lists this ribosomal RNA (561 nucleotides) under Lactiplantibacillus plantarum. Its description in RNAcentral is "bacterial SSU rRNA". It matches the Rfam family "Bacterial small subunit ribosomal RNA", at positions 62 to 593 of the family's 1533-position model. Lineage: Bacteria; Bacillati; Bacillota; Bacilli; Lactobacillales; Lactobacillaceae. The record is from RNAcentral.